Leptonychotes weddellii (Weddell seal) is the source of this 2232-nucleotide non-coding RNA. The record is from RefSeq and is a predicted model, not a curated record. NCBI's taxonomy places the organism in Eukaryota, Metazoa, Chordata, Mammalia, Carnivora, Phocidae.
CCUCCCUCCCUUUCUUCCAUCUUUUCAUUAUCCAUUAUUUUUCAUUUUCUCCCACAAUAAUCCUGCAAAAUAGUCUGGUCAGAGAUUAUCACUGAAAUUUAAUGAGGAACUUAAGUCACAGAGAAGUGGAGUCAUUCUUUUAGAAUUUAUCCCCCCAAUGUUCUCCCCACAGAUCUGAAUCCCAGGUCGUGUGUCUUCUACCACACCACAACUUUAUUCCCCUGCAGGAGCACAGCCUCUGCCAGAAUAUUUCUGCUUUCACCAUGAUAUCAUGAAAGAAAGAAGCAAGAUGAAAAAACCCCUAGAUUUAUGAUUCAUCUCCCUUUUUCAGGAAAAUAGAAAUUUGGCAUCAUUUUCCAAAUGGGGUGGAAAUUAAGCUGCACACCUAGCUGCAAGCACUGGGUGAUCUCCCUCAAGAAACCAGCUCCAGCUCAAGUAGGAGAUGGGUUCUUUCAGCUCAGCUAACCCAAGCUCCUUCCCAAGCUGCGCACGAUGAGACCUGCUACUGCUUCAAGUUGCUCACGGUUUGUGUGACGUGCCACAUAGAGGGGACUUGGGAGACCAUGGAGGGAGUCCCCACCCCCUCCAGCAGCCUGCAGCAGCCUCCAAGCUACUUUCUCUCUCUAUGAAUCUGACUACCCGAGGAACCUCAGACCAGGUUACAACAUGCCAUGUGGAUCACUGGUCCCAGACCCCAAUACCUGCUUGACUUUCUGCUUCAGCACCAUCAUGAGGAAUAGCAGUGUCUGGGUCCCAAUCCCAAAUUCCUGGAAGGUGGAUCUAUCUAGAAGAGGUGCGUUUACCUGGGGAAAGAGGACAGGGUAGCUGAGCCCACACUCCUCACGCAGAAUUCAUGGCUGGGGGACGGGACAGGAAGAUCCAUCCAAAGGGAUUCCACACCUGUCUGGCAACUUUUUCUUGCACUUCCAGAUCUCAGGCUUCAAUGGGAUCAUUCAUGGUCAAGAAACUUAUGAACAGUACAACCAUUCUGCAGGAAAAAUGGUGCACUCAGAAGGUUAACUCAAGGGAGAGAAUGAGGGUGCUUAGGAAAGAGUGGGCAGAAUUAAGGGAACCAAGCUGAGAUGGUGAAACACUCUGGGACAAGCAACAGGAGAACCAGUCCCACCCAUACAUGGGUCUGAAGGGGGAGAGGAAGGAAGCUGUCACUGCCGAAACCAGAGAGGACUGAAGCCAGCAGUGGUGGGUUCGAGGGUGAGGGUCCAAACUGCAGGCAGAGCAGAGGAGGCAGAGCAAGAAAUAGCCAGUCGCUCUCUCCUCCCACCCAACCUGAAGCCAGGGGACAGGGCACUUGGGUGAUGAGUUUAUAGGGUUCGGCCUCCUGGGUCACAGAGCAGGGCGGAGAAGGAUGCCAAGUGGAUGCCGCUGGGGUGGCAUGAUGGAAAUUACCCAGCCCGGGUGGUUAUGAUGUACAUUUUCAGAACAUGACAAGUGUUCCACUCCUGACUUUGUCAUCUUACUCCUAGAAAUGUAGUUUGAAGAAAGGAUGCAAAUUAGAAUUUUUAUUUGUACUAACUUUUGGGAGGCAGUAUGGCUUAAUGACAAAGUGUGGGCUUUGGGGUCAGAAAGAUCAAAUUGCAGUCCAGGCUCUCCUCCUUCUUAGCUCUAUGGGAUUUGGGGUCUCUAUCUGGAUUGACCUCUCAGAGCCCCAUUUUCUUCAUCUGUAAUACCAUUCGUUUCCUGUGGCUGUUGUAAUAAAUCACCACAAAACUCGGUGGCUUAAAACAACAGAAAUCUAGUCGCUCACAGUUCUCAAGGCCAGAAGUCCUAAAUCCGGGUGUCAGCAGGGCCAUGCUCCCCCCGGAGGCUCUACCAGAGAAUCCAGUUCAUGCCUCUCUCCCAGCUUCCAGUGACUACUGGAGUCAGUCCUUGGUGCUCCUUAGUCUGUAGCCGCAUCCUUCCAAUCUCUGCCUCCAUCUUCACAUUGCUUUCUCCUCUGUGUCUGUGUGGUCUCCCUCUGACUCACUCUUACAAGGACACUCAUUGGAUUUAGGGCCUGCCCAGAUAAUUGAGAAUAAUCCUAUCCUAAGAUACUUAAGUACAUUUGCAAAGACCCUUUUACCAAAUAAGGUCACAGUCACAGAUUCCAGGGAUUGGGAUGUAGACAUAUUUUCCCCUGCUUUGGUGUGUGUGGCGGGGGAAGACACCAUUCAACCCAUUUAAGAAACUGGAGGAAGCGGGGCGCCUGGGUGGCUCAGUUGGUUAAGCGACUGC